Molecule: long non-coding RNA, 307 nt
Filed under: Mus spicilegus (steppe mouse)
Lineage: Eukaryota; Metazoa; Chordata; Mammalia; Rodentia; Muridae
Description: lncRNA (ENSMSIG00000013753.1)
Source: RNAcentral
UGUGUGUUUAUGUGGUGUUGAGAUAAGCCAAAGAUAGAUAAGGAUGUAUGAGCUGUCUUUGCCUUCACUGGGGAGCCUACUACGUGCUACAGUGUCUGCAGUGCUGCAAGAUUCACUGUGGUACUACAAUAGUUGAGCCUCAUCUAUGAUGUGCUGUGUUCAAGGCACCUGUAGACCAGGUGCAUCUCCCAGGUUAUGCCAUUACAACCAUAGCCAGAUUGACAUUAUUUGUGUGACAUUGUCAGAGGAUGUAUAUGUUUCUUUAAAAAUAGGAGGGGAAAGAAACAUUUUUAUAUUGAUGAUCUGA